Molecule: ribosomal RNA, 794 nt
Filed under: Inocybe cf. hirtelloides EL9506
Lineage: Eukaryota; Fungi; Basidiomycota; Agaricomycetes; Agaricales; Inocybaceae
Description: 16S ribosomal RNA
Rfam family: Bacterial small subunit ribosomal RNA
Source: RNAcentral
UAGUCAUGCUCGCAGCGUGAACUAGCUAGCUGAAAUCACAAAAUCACAAAAUGUGCUUAUUGUGAUAACGUAAGGGAAAAAAAUGAUAUUACCUUACUAUAAGUGUUGUCUAAAUAACUGGUGCCAGAAGACUCGGUAACACCAGAAACGCGAACGUUAGUCGUCUUAAACAGGCGUAAAGGGUAAGUAGGCUGCUUUAAAGUCUAUUUUUAAAUAAGCUAGUUAAUAAAAAUCCACCCUUGCUAGCAACCCUAGCCUAUUGCUAUCGCUGCGCGAGGGAGGGCCUGUCUAAUAGUUUAUAAAUUUUCAGACCUUAAAUAAUAAAUUAAGGCUAAGUUAAAUGAAAAUAGGGUAUUCUUAUUAGGCGUCCUUCGGAUCCUUUUUAUUCUUAUUUAAAUAAUAAAAUUAAGAUUUCGGAUCCUACGGACAGCAUAAAUUAUAAUAAUUAAUUAUUAAUGGGGACAAAAUAGAUACACUUAAAGCUAGAAUCAUAAUUGAGAUAAACCAAAUAAUACUUAUGUGUAAGGGCGAUAUCUGAAAAUACUAAGUAGAAUACUAACGGUGAAAACUUUUUAUCUGGUAAUGAUUGACGCUGAGGUACGAAAGUGAGAACAGGGAAUAGGAUUAGAUACCCAGUUACCUCUCACCGUCAACGAUGAAUGGUAGUUGUUAAUUUAAUUUAAUUAGUGACGAUGUUAACGCGAUAACCAUUCCGCCUUGAGAGUACGGUUGCAAAACUGAAACCAAAAAAAAUUAGUCGGUUCCUCGGAUGCAAGAACGUAANAGUUCGCAUU